This 346-nucleotide unclassified non-coding RNA is filed under the name Hevea brasiliensis (rubber tree). The record is from RNAcentral. Lineage: Eukaryota; Viridiplantae; Streptophyta; Magnoliopsida; Malpighiales; Euphorbiaceae.
CACAACCCACUGGCACUUCAAGACAGUCCAAAGCAUGUUUUGCCUGUUCUAUUGCAAGCUCCAUAUAUGCAAGAGUCUCAGGUGAACACACUUCCCCUUGACCUUGAGAUUCCAUCUAAAAUAUAAGCCCUGAAAGUAAGCGGAAAAAUGUUGCAGUCCAGUGAAGCGAAGGGACGUGGGGAGAUGGGCACAGAGCAAUGUCUAUGUACUUAAAGCAGUGACAUUUUCAGUUUGGAUAGAAGCUCCAACAAAGAAUUUCGAAUCGGAUUUGAUUAUUUAUGGCCGAAAGCUGCACGGGAGAGAUUAACGUCUGUUCUUACUACUAAUAAUAACAAUAAUAAUAAAA